AGGCAGCCGGGCAUGCUCAGUACUGGCGGGGGGAAAUCUGGGUGGAGAGUAGAAAGCUGUGGCUCCCUCUCUAGCCCCCGCCCCCUAGCCCCCACCCAGCCGUAGUAGUUCCCCAGCCUGCGCCGGGGACAGCAGGAACAUGGCGCUUGGAGCGAUGUAGCAAGCGAGGAGAAGGGAUGAGGUUCCUCUGCCUCACUGACAGCCAGCUACUAGAAAUACACUGCGGUGAAUUCUGCCUCUUGCCAAAAUGAACACUGAGGAAAAAUGAAGAAAACUGAAGAACUCCAAUGAAAAAAUACAGAACAGAAAUAGCAAGCCUUCUCUGGAGUCUUUAAUUUAUCUACAGCCAUUGUAAAAAAGGAUUUUUCAUCAUGUUUGGGAAGAAAAAGAAAAAGAUUGAAAUAUCUGGCCCAUCCAACUUUGAGCACAGGGUUCAUACUGGGUUCGAUCCACAAGAGCAGAAAUUCACUGGCCUUCCGCAGCAGUGGCACAGCCUAUUAGCAGAUACAGCCAAUAGGCCAAAGCCCAUGGUGGACCCUUCAUGCAUCACACCCAUACAGCUGGCUCCCAUGAAGACAAUCGUGCGAGGACACAAGCCCUGCCAGGAGAGCUCCAUCAACGGGCUGCUGGAGGACU
This is a long non-coding RNA of Fukomys damarensis (Damara mole-rat), 636 nucleotides long. RefSeq lists it as uncharacterized. The record is from RefSeq and is a predicted model, not a curated record. NCBI's taxonomy places the organism in Eukaryota, Metazoa, Chordata, Mammalia, Rodentia, Bathyergidae. The transcript has 4 exons.